Picea glauca (white spruce) is the source of this 72-nucleotide non-coding RNA. NCBI's taxonomy places the organism in Eukaryota, Viridiplantae, Streptophyta, Pinopsida, Pinales, Pinaceae. The record is from Rfam.
GGAUCUGUGGCGCAAUGGUAGCGCAUCUGAAUCUAGAUCAGAAGGCUGUGUGUUCAAUUCACGUCGGGUUCA